GGAGAUGUGGCAAAAAGGUUUUGCUGUGCUAUGGCAUCUCUUAGAAGAGCUAGCUGCAUUCGCUGAUGCAGAGCAGGGAGGAAACUGCAGUGGCAUGUUACAGCUCCAAGAGGAAUAGGGGCGAUAAAACCCAUUUUCCACCUUCCAGGGGAAAAAAGGUUGGACAGCACGAAUAGCCGGGUUUGCCCGCAGGAAACGGGAUGGGGUAUCCGUGGGAAAGAGGACUGGAAAAGAAGGAGGGUACCGGGAAAAAGAGAAGCACGGCAGCAGGAACUCGCAUCACAGCGGCUUAACUUUCAGCAGCAUCCUCCUCCUCCCCGGGCUGCUGCUCCCCCCUCCCCUCUCCGGAGGACACAGAGGGGAUGUUUCCGCGCCCCGGGGCCGGCGGUGCGGGUGAGGACGGGGUGCUGGCCGCCCCCCGCCGCCCCGAGGGAAGAGGAAGCGGCUCCGAGCCCGCAGGAAGUGCCGCUGCCCCGCGCCCGCCGCCCCCGGCCCAGCCCGGCCCGGCCCGGCGGCCGCUGAGCGGGGGCGGCCCGGGCGCUGACAGGUGGCGGCGGCGAGAGGCCUCCGGCUCGGCGGGCAGCGCCCGGCAGGAUCGCCCGGCACCCGCGGCACCUGCCCUGCCCGCCCCUACCUUGUUGAGGUGGGGGUCGCGGAGCACCUCGUAGCCCCUCUUCAUGGUGCUGGAGAAGUGAUUCCCCUGCAGCCCAUUGUGAAGACCAUGGUAAGGUUGUCCCCUUGCAGCCCACAGAGGUCCACAGUGGAGCAAAUAUCCACCAUGGAGCAGAUAUCCCAUAGAGGAACUCAUUACAGAGCAGGGGAAUGCCUGAAGGAGGCUGUGACCCCUUGGGAAGCCCAUGCUGGAACAUGCUCCUAGCAGGACCUGUGGCCUCAUGGAGAGAGGAACCCAUGUUGGAGCAGGUUUGCUGGCCCUGUAGGGGACCCAUGCUGGGGCAAUCUGUUCCUGAAGGGCUGAACCCCCUGGAAGGCACCACACUGGAGCAUUUUGUGAAGAACUGCAGCCGGUGGGGAGGAGCCAUGUUGGAGAAGUUCAUGAAGGACUGUCUCCUGUGGAGGGACUCCACACUGGGCAGAAGACUGUGAGGAGUCCUCCCCCUGAGGAGGAAGGAUUGGCAGAAGCAUGUGAUGCACUGACCACAACCCCCAUUGCCCAUCUGCCUGCACUGCUGGAGGUGAGGAGGUAUAGAAUUCGGGAGUGAAGGUGAACCUGGGAAGAUGGAGAAGUGGAAGGAAAGUGUUUUUAGAUUUGUUCCUAUUUUUCAUUAUACUCCUCUGAUUCGAUUGGCAAUGAAUUAAAUUUGUUUCCCUAGGUGGAGUCUAUUUUUCCCAUGACCAGUAAUUGCUGAGUGAUCUCCCUUGUCCUUAUCUUGACACAGGAGCCUUUAGUUUUAUUUUCUCUGCUCUGCCCAGGUGAGGAGGGGAGUGAUAAAAAAGACUUCUGUGAGCACCUGGUGUCCAGCCAGAUUCAACCCACUUCAAUCAGUAAGAAGACAUUUGGUAGGCGCAAUCUUUGGGCAUGUGACAAGACAGCAUUUGUAAUGUUAGCCGAAUAAUCUGUAGUGAUUUAAAAUCCUAUUGUAGUUUCUGUAUCACUAGUUUCAUUAUUUGAUUAAAGUCCAGCAGAGCAUUAAGGAUUACAUUUGACUGAGCAUGAAUGAUUUACAAUUAGUUAGAAAAAAUAAAGGUAUUAAGGAAUGUGCCAGGUUAAUUUAUUUGACAAAUGAGUGUAAAGCUACUUACACAAACAUUUCAAAAGAGAGAAGCACCUGGUUCAUAAUGUAUUUUGUAGAAGCAAUGAAAAAAGUAAUUAUUGAGAACUGUAAAAACACUGCCAGGAGGUAUAGCUAAGAUCUAGCUCACUAGGAAUGCAGGGGCUGACUUCCACUGCAUCUCACAGUUGUGCUGGGUCCCUCCCCUGACUAACCCACUGGGUGACAGUCAGUAAGCUGAGGAAUCCACAGGUAGGGAAGAUGUAAGCUAUACAUGGCAGUUAGGGCAUGGUUUGGUAUCCAGCCUGGGGUUUGUACAAGGGGAUAAUUGUAAUUCAUUUGUAUUACAGUAUCUGCUAAGGCCAAGCUUUUAGUGUUUUCCAGUUUAAUGUCAAUAAUACUACAGUAAUGUUGAUACCUAGCUUUUUAAAACACUACUCAUUUUUAAUUUGUUUAUGUUGGUGACAUUUCUUAUUUUACAGCAGUAUAGGAAACACCUCGUGGUGACUGAUUUAAGCCACUUGCUGUCUGUUUUUACUUGAUCGUGAUAUUGCUUUGUCAACAGGAUCAACAGCAUAACUUGCAACAUUGCAAAUGUAAAGAAAUAAACUUUUCUAAAAAGUCCAA
Long non-coding RNA from Myiozetetes cayanensis, 2357 nucleotides. RefSeq lists it as uncharacterized. The record is from RefSeq and is a predicted model, not a curated record. NCBI's taxonomy places the organism in Eukaryota, Metazoa, Chordata, Aves, Passeriformes, Tyrannidae. The transcript has 2 exons.